Molecule: non-coding RNA, 481 nt
Filed under: Pongo abelii (Sumatran orangutan)
Lineage: Eukaryota; Metazoa; Chordata; Mammalia; Primates; Hominidae
Source: RNAcentral
UAAAUACACUGAUCCUACAUUUGGAAUAUGGAGAGAGGGACAAAAGAUAUUGGUUUCAAGGCAGCCAAAGCCAAAAUACCAGGACUCUACUUAAUGGUUUCACUGUGAGGAAACCAACCGUACAGAAAAAACUCUCCCUUAAACUGAUAUCAAGCCAUUGUCAAGCGCAUUGUUUUAUCUCUUUAAUGUCUCAUGAAACCAUCAACUGCUCUCCAAAUUCAAGAAAACCGUCACCUGUCUGGAAUACUUAAAUGACCUUUUAAUAAUCCACGUGUUUUUCUAACAUGUCCUCCUGCUAAUCUCUACAUUUGAGCCAAUGUCAUCUUGGCAAAAUGCCAGAUUGCUGAUGUCACUACUGCUCAGACCCAUCACAGCAUCUCUACUUAAACUCUCAAACAACUUUGAAAGACUCUUAUAAGGAAAAUCAAAACCCUUAGGCCCACAUGUCCCCUCCCUCACACUCAAUAAUAUUCUACACAAA